CGACCGGGGCGACAGCAAUAUGAAGGUCAGGCUGAAGACCUUACCCGAUUAGCUGAGAGGUGGUGCAUGGCCGUCGUCAGUUCGUACUGUGAAGCAUCCUGUUAAGUCAGGCAACGAGCGAGACCCACGUCCACAGUUGCCAGCGUACUCUCCGGAGUGACGGGUACACUGUGGGACCGCCGCUGCUAAAGCGGAGGAAGGAAUGGGCAACGGUAGGUCAGUAUGCCCCGAAUAUCCCGGGCUACACGCGAGCUACAAUGGUUGGUACAAUGGGUAUCUACCCCGAAAGGGGACGGGAAUCUCCUAAAACCAAUCUUAGUUCGGAUUGAGGGCUGCAACUCGCCCUCAUGAAGCUGGAAUCCGUAGUAAUCGCGUUUCAACAGAACGCGGUGAAUACGUCCCUGCUCCUU
This 410-nucleotide ribosomal RNA is filed under the name uncultured Methanosaeta sp. RNAcentral describes it as "bacterial SSU rRNA". It matches the Rfam family "Archaeal small subunit ribosomal RNA", at positions 922 to 1338 of the family's 1478-position model. The record is from RNAcentral. Lineage: Archaea; Methanobacteriati; Methanobacteriota; Methanomicrobia; Methanotrichales; Methanotrichaceae.